GAUGAACGCUAGCGAUAGGCCUAACACAUGCAAGUCGAGGGGCAUCACAUGAAGUAGCAAUACGGAUGGUGGCGACCGGCGCACGGGUGAGUAACACGUAUGCAACCUGCCUUCAACAAGGGGAUAACCCGUUGAAAGACGGACUAAUACCCUAUAACACAGGGGUCCCGCAUGGGGAUAUUUGUUAAAGGACAACCGGUUGAAGAUGGGCAUGCGUUCCAUUAGCUAGUUGGCGGGGUAACGGCCCACCAAGGCAACGAUGGAUAGGGGAACUGAGAGGUUUAUCCCCCACACUGGUACUGAGACACGGACCAGACUCCUACGGGAGGCAGCAGUGAGGAAUAUUGGUCAAUGGACGCAAGUCUGAACCAGCCACGUCGCGUGAAGGAAGACGGCCCUACGGGUUGUAAACUUCUUUUAUACGGGAAUAAAGUGCCCCACGCGUGGGGUUUUGCAUGUACCGUAUGAAUAAGGAUCGGCUAACUCCGUGCCAGCAGCCGCGGUAAGUACGCAGCGAC
RNAcentral lists this ribosomal RNA (518 nucleotides) under uncultured bacterium. RNAcentral describes it as "bacterial SSU rRNA". It matches the Rfam family "Bacterial small subunit ribosomal RNA", at positions 28 to 534 of the family's 1533-position model. The record is from RNAcentral.